This 434-nucleotide ribosomal RNA is filed under the name uncultured Lachnospiraceae bacterium. RNAcentral's name for it is "bacterial SSU rRNA". It matches the Rfam family "Bacterial small subunit ribosomal RNA", at positions 341 to 792 of the family's 1533-position model. The record is from RNAcentral. Lineage: Bacteria; Bacillati; Bacillota; Clostridia; Lachnospirales; Lachnospiraceae.
ACGGGAGGCAGCAGUGGGGAAUAUUGCACAAUGGGGGAAACCCUGAUGCAGCGACGCCGCGUGAAGGAUGACGUAUUUCGGUAUGUAAACUUCUAUCAGCAAGGAAGAUGAUGACGGUACUUGACUAAGAAGCCCCGGCUAACUACGUGCCAGCAGCCGCGGUAAUACGUAGGGGGCAAGCGUUAUCCGGAUUUACUGGGUGUAAAGGGUGCGUAGACGGCUGUGCAAGUCAGAAGUGAAAUCCCGGGGCUUAACCCCGGUGCUGCUUUUGAAACUGUACGGCUAGAGUGCUGGAGGGGCAAGCGGAAUUCCUGGUGUAGCGGUGAAAUGCGUAGAUAUCAGGAGGAACACCGGUGGCGAAGGCGGCUUGCUGGACAGUAACUGACGUUGAGGCACGAAAGCGUGGGGAGCAAACAGGAUUAGAUACCCUGGUA